Molecule: ribosomal RNA, 406 nt
Filed under: uncultured bacterium
Lineage: Bacteria
Description: bacterial SSU rRNA
Rfam family: Bacterial small subunit ribosomal RNA
Source: RNAcentral
UGGGGAAUAUUGGGCAAUGGGCGCAAGCCUGACCCAGCAACGCCGCGUGAAGGAAGAAGGCUUUCGGGUUGUAAACUUCUUUUGUCAGGGAAGAUGAAGAGACGGUACCUGACGAAUAAGCCACGGCUAACUACGUGCCAGCAGCCGCGGUAAUACGUAGGUGGCAAGCGUUGUCCGGAUUUACUGGGUGUAAAGGGCGUGUAGGCGGGACUGCAAGUCAGGCGUGAAACCCAUGGGCUCAACCCAUGGCCUGCGUUUGAAACUGCGGUUCUUGAGUACUGGAGAGGUUGACGGAAUUCCUUGUGUAGCGGUGAAAUGCGUAGAUAUAAGGAGGAACACCAGUGGCGAAGGCGGUCAACUGGACAGCAACUGACGCUGAGGCGCGAAAGCGUGGGGAGCAAACAGG